GAUGAACGCUGGCGGCGUGCCUAAUACAUGCAAGUCGAGCGAACAGACGAGGAGCUUGCUCCGCUGACGUGAGCGGCGGACGGGUGAGUAACACGUGGAUAACCUACCUAUAAGACGGGGAUAACUUCGGGAAACCGGAGCUAAUACCGGAGAAGAUAUUGAAGCGCAGGGGGGAAUAGUGAAAGACGGUGGUGGGGGCACGUAUAGAGGGAUCCGCGCCGCAUGGGCUGGUUGGGAAGGUAACGGGUUACCAAGGCAACGAUGCGUAGCCGAGCUGAGAGGGUGAUUGCCCGCCCUGGAGCUGGGACACCCUCCAGACUCCUACGGGAGGCCGCAGUCGGCAAUCUUCCGCAGUAGGCGAAAGCCUGACGCAGCAGCGCCGCGUCAGUGACGACGGUCUCCCGAUCGUAAAACUCUCUUAUUAGUGAAGAACCACUGUGUCCGUAACUAUGCCCGUCUUGACGGUACCUAGUCAGAAAGCACCGGCUAACUACGUG
RNAcentral lists this ribosomal RNA (497 nucleotides) under uncultured bacterium. RNAcentral's name for it is "partial 16S ribosomal RNA". It matches the Rfam family "Bacterial small subunit ribosomal RNA", at positions 28 to 507 of the family's 1533-position model. The record is from RNAcentral.